RNAcentral lists this ribosomal RNA (375 nucleotides) under uncultured bacterium. RNAcentral's name for it is "bacterial SSU rRNA". It matches the Rfam family "Bacterial small subunit ribosomal RNA", at positions 523 to 897 of the family's 1533-position model. The record is from RNAcentral.
AUACGUAGGUGGCAAGCGUUGUCCGGAAUUAUUGGGCGUAAAGCGCGCGCAGGCGGGACUUUAAGUCUACUUUAAAAGUGCGGGGCUCAACCCCGUGAUGGGGUGGAAACUAAAGUUCUUGAGUGUCGGAGAGGAAAGUGGAAUUCCCAGUGUAGCGGUGAAAUGCGUAGAGAUUGGGAGGAACACCAGUGGCGAAGGCGACUUUCUGGACGAUGUCUGACGCUGAGGCGCGAAAGCCAGGGGAGUGAACGGGAUUAGAUACCCCGGUAAUCCUGGCCGUAAACGAUGGGUACUAGGUGUAGGAGGUAUCGACCCCUUCUGUGCCGGAGUUAACGCAAUAAGUACCCCGCCUGGGGAGUACGGCCGCAAGGUUGA